UGCCACUGCACUCCAGCCUGGGCGACAGAGUGAGACUCUGUCUCAAAAAAAUGAAUAAAUACAAAAAUAAAGUUAAUUGUUCUUAGAUAGUACAAAUCUGCCUUCUAAUAGUAUAGCAGGAGCCCUCUCAUCAGAAACCUUUAGUUGUUUGGUUAAUCUAAAAAGUUAUUUAAAUCAGGGUGUCAUAAAAAGUACAUAUAUAGACAUUUUAACUUUAAAUAUUCUAUAUUUACCACUUAUUUACUAUAGGAUCCAGGUUUUUUCUAACUUUUUAGUGUACAUCUACUCAGUCGGGCUGUUGGUGAUAUAGUGGUACAGCAUAGCUGCCUUCCCAUAUAGGUCUGCUGAUAGAUGUUCUCUAAUUGUCUUUCUUGAAUUCCUGGCCUCAAGGAUCCUCCCACCUCAGCCUCUCAAGUAGCUGGGAUUACAAGCUGGAGCUUGUAAUCUAAUUAUCUUUCUUAUACAAAUUACAUGCAUUACAUUACAUAGGUGUGAACCACAGAUGCAGAAUUCUUGAAGAUUUUUACUAUAUUUUCCCCCAAUCUUUUAGAGCAGUUUUGCCCACAGUUAACCAAUAGCUUUUUUUUUUUUUUAAAUUUUUAAAGUCAACAAACUUUUAUCUAGUCUUUCCAAAGUAUUUAACUUGGCUUUAACAGAAACUAGAACUCUUCACGCUUGCGUCCUUGGCUCAUAUUAUCAUCAUAAAAAGUUCACCUGGCAUAAUCAGUUUGUUUGGUAACUGUAUUUGUUUCCUAGAGCAGUUGUAACAAAUUACCACUCCACAAGUGGCUUAAAAUGAGAAAUUUAUUCUCUCACACUUCCGGUGGCUAGAAAUCCAAAAUCAAGGCGUCAGCAGGGCCAUGCUCCCUCUCCAAUCUCUGCCUAGUCGUCACAUGGCCUUCUGUCUCUGUGUCCUUUUCUGUCAUUUAUAAGGAUACUGUCAUUGGAUUUAGAACCUACUCAUAUCCAAUAUCAGCUUAUCUCAAUACUUACCUAUUACAUCUGCAAAGACAUGAUUUCCAAGUGAGAAUACAUUCUGAGGUUGCAGGUGGACAUAAAUUACUGGGGAACACUAUUUGACCCACUACAGUCACAAACUCAAACAGCCUUUGGUAAACAUACCUUGCAGCAAAUGGGAAUAGAAAACACAACCCCUACUCAGGUUAAACAACAGAAAUUUAUUUUCUCACAGUGUUGGAGGCUGAAAAUCCAAGAUCAAGGUAUCAGCAGAUUUGGUUUCUUCAAAGACUUCUCUCCUUGACUUGCAGAUGGCACCUUCUCACUGUCUUUAUAUGGCCUUUCCUCUGUGCACUUGUAUCCCUGGUGUGUCUUCCCCUUCUUAUAAGGACAUCAAUCCUAUUGGCUUUAGGGCCCCACCCUUAUGACCUCACUUAACCUUAGUUACCUCUUUAAAGGCCCUGUUUCGAAAUAUAGCCAUGUACCACAUAACAGCUUUUCAGUCAAUAAUGGACUGCAUAUAUGUUGGUGGUGCCAUACGAUUAUAAUGGAGCUAAAAAUUCCUAUCACCUAGUGACAUCAUAGCCAUCAUAAGGUAGCACAACACGAUAAUCAUGUUGUUUAUGGUGAUGCUGGUAUAAACAAACCUGUGCUGCCAGUCAUAUAAAAAUCUAGCACAUAAAAUGAUGUAAGGUAUAUAGUACUUAAUAAAUGGCUAGGUUACUGGUUUAUGCAUUACUGUGCUAUAUGUUUUGUCAUUAUUUUAGAGUGUACUUCUACUUAAAAAAAAGUUAACUGUGAAACAGCAUAAGGCAGGCCCUUCAGGAGGUCUGUGAGAAGAAGGCAUUGUUACAGGAGAUGACAGCUCCGUGGGUAUUAUUGCCCCUGAAAACCUUCUAAGCAGGACAAGAUGUGGAGAUGGAAGACAGUGACAUUGAUGAUCCUGACCCCGUAGACAGGCUGAAGUGGUGCAGUCAUAGCUUACUGUAGUCUUGACCUACUGGGCUCAAGCAAUCCUCCUGCCUCAGCCUCCUGAGUAACUAGGACUACAGGGCAGCCUUGAACAUACCAGGAAGCAAUAGGAAAAAACUGGAGAAAGUGAAAAGGCUGCGAUGAAGGAAAAGAGGAGACAAACAAGGGUGACAUUGGCUGGGCAGCAAAGAUGACCAAAAGGCCAAGAAGCCUGUGCUGUUCCAGUAUUGAUCCGGUGCUCCUCCGUCACCAUCCGACCACAGAACCUCAGGCUGAUAGUUGUUCACUAACUCAUAGAGCUCUGGCAAUGUCUUAGAAACUGGAAAUUGCCGCUUAUGGAAUGAACUGGAUUCAUCCUCAAGGAAGAGCGGAUGAAACCAUUCAAAAAGGGAAUAGUACAGUCCAAAACGCAGGUUCUGGCUCUGUCACCCAGGCUGGAGUUCAGUGGUGCGAACUUCGCUCACUGCAUCCUCGACCUCCUGGGCUCAAGUGAUGCUCCCACCUCAGCCUACCAAGUAGCUAGGACUACAGGUGUGUACUCCACCACGCCCAGCUAAUUUUGUCUAUUUUUUCAGAGACAGGGUCUCACUUUGCUGCCUAGGCCAGUCUCAAACUCCUGGCCUCAAGCAAUCCUCCUUCCUUGGCCUCCCAAAGUGUUGGAAUUAUAGAUGUGAGCCACUGCACCUAGCCUUAGAUUCAUUUUAAUAAGCUUUUUAAAACAGCUCACUCUUGUUCCUAUCAUUUCUGUGGUAAGCUUCAGAGCAGUGUUGAUAUCUAAAGUCAUACUCAAAGUUACUCAACUUGACAGGCCCUAAUGUCAGACAGUACUAAAACCACUUGAGUCUUCAUUUGAAUAUCACCACCAUAAGCUUACACUGCGACGUUCCUUCCUGAGCUUAGUAUGCAUUUUCCAUGAGCAAUGAAAACAUCUGACAACAUGGGUCCCAGAAAAUGUAUACAUGUGGGCUACAUCAUCUCUCCUCACAGUUUGAUUAACAAUUUUUAUUAAAUAAACUCACUAUGUAAUGUUUUGUGCCAUACAGCUUGGGAAAGUUCCUAGACAUCAGGAAAUCAGCAUGUUCUCAAGCAAAUACACUUGAUAGACAUUCAUCUCAGCAGGAUAAAUAUCUACAGGAGAAAAUCAUGAAGCUACCAGAAUGUGGCCAAAGGGAAAAAUAUCCUAUGAUCAUUCCAGAUUUUUUGUGUUGGUUCUCCUCUCCUAUUCCCAUCCCAUCCCUGGAGAAAACAAUAAGGCAAAGUUUCCCGUUUUUUUUUUUUUUUUUUUUUGAGACAGGAUCUCCCUCCGCCACCUAGACUGGAGUGUAGUAAGCCUAUCUCCGCUCACUGCAGCCUCAAGCAGUCCUCCAACCUAAGCCUCCCAAGUAGCUGGGACUACAGAGACAUACCACUACGCUAAUUUUUUAGUUUUUGUUUGUUUGUUUGUUUUUGUAGAGACAGGGUCUCACUAUGUUGCCCAGGCUGGUCUUGAACCCCUGGGCUCAAAUGAUCCUCCUUCCUCGGCCUCCCAAAAUUUUGGGAUUACAGACAUGAGCGACCACAUCCAGUGCAAAUUUUUUUAUACCAAGGCAAAGAUGAUCAUGCAAAAGAAACUAAUGAAUGAACAAGCCGUUGGAACAAAAACAAUUUGUUAAUGCUUCCCUGGCCUUACAAAUACUGGAGUGGUAAUGGGUGGAAUCCAUUCUAUUAAAAUAGAAUGGAUUUUAAAUGUGUGGGGGUUUAGAUAUUCUUCUACCACCUCUGAUUUUUCUGGAAACCAUUACAGUUCCACAAUCCUUUUCCCUCCAGGUGAUCUGGGUCACUUUCAUCACUUUCAUCACUAUCAGUUCAUCCACUAUUUGCACCAUUUGGCCAGCUAAGAGUUGGCUAAAAGUGCAGCCAGGUGUGUCGUAAUGAUGCAAGACUAUAGCAGUAUAAUCCCCAUGAUGCAUUCACAGGAUGCAUUACAGAGAAGGGGAAGGAAAGAGUGCAAUUCCAAGAUGAACUUUGACUUGCAACCCACACUCCCUUCAACAAACAGCUUUAAGUAAAUCUUGGAAAUAUUGUUCAAAAUACAUGUGACAAAACGUGACCAUCUUUCCUCUGUUACGUGGCGGGUAUGAUCCUUUCUGUAUUCCUAACAUCUCUCAAUUUGGGUUGAAUGUGCAGUCCCUAAGUCAUAAGCAAGUGCCAGUCACCACUUAUGGUUGCUCCGAAGAGAAAAUUAGACCUUGCUUUAGUUUUUUCUUCCAAAAGAACAACUUUUCAUUUCUUAACCAUUGUCAGCAAUUUCCAUAGGCUGGAUUGACUUACCUUCAUGAUGUUUGGAAGUUAAGACAAUGUAUUUGGCACCAGAGGCCUGAAAAAUAUCUGCCCACUGGUUGGCAUUAAAAAAUUUUGCUGU
This 4330-nucleotide long non-coding RNA is filed under the name Homo sapiens (human). RNAcentral's name for it is "PREDICTED lncRNA (TCONS_00227725)". The record is from RNAcentral. Lineage: Eukaryota; Metazoa; Chordata; Mammalia; Primates; Hominidae.